This 405-nucleotide ribosomal RNA is filed under the name uncultured bacterium. RNAcentral describes it as "bacterial SSU rRNA". It matches the Rfam family "Bacterial small subunit ribosomal RNA", at positions 355 to 774 of the family's 1533-position model. The record is from RNAcentral.
UGGGGAAUAUUGGGCAAUGGGGGAAACCCUGACCCAGCAACGCCGCGUGAAGGAAGAAGGCCUUCGGGUUGUAAACUUCUUUUACCAGGGACGAAGGACGUGACGGUACCUGGAGAAAAAGCCACGGCUAACUACGUGCCAGCAGCCGCGGUAAUACGUAGGUGGCAAGCGUUGUCCGGAAUUACUGGGUGUAAAGGGCGUGUAGGCGGAGCUGCAAGUCAGAUGUGAAAUCUCCGGGCUUAACCCGGAAACUGCAUUUGAAACUGUAGCCCUUGAGUAUCGGAGAGGCAAGCGGAAUUCCUAGUGUAGCGGUGAAAUGCGUAGAUAUUAGGAGGAACACCAGUGGCGAAGGCGGCUUGCUGGACGACAACUGACGCUGAGGCGCGAAAGCGUGGGGAGCAAACA